RNAcentral lists this ribosomal RNA (569 nucleotides) under uncultured Glomus. Its description in RNAcentral is "bacterial SSU rRNA". It matches the Rfam family "Eukaryotic small subunit ribosomal RNA", at positions 534 to 1105 of the family's 1831-position model. Lineage: Eukaryota; Fungi; Glomeromycota; Glomeromycetes; Glomerales; Glomeraceae. The record is from RNAcentral.
AAUUCGAUUUUGGAGGGCAAGUCUGGUGCCAGCAGCCGCGGUAAUUCCAGCUCCAAUAGCGUAUAUUAAAGUUGUUGCAGUUAAAAAGCUCGUAGUUGAAUUUCGGGGUCAAUAGGUUGGUCGUGCCAAUGGUAUGUACUGGCUUUAUUGAUUCCUACCUCUUGACGAACUGUGAUGCCAUUAAUUUGGUGUUGCAGGAAAUCAGGACUGUUACCUUGAAAAAAUUAGAGUGUUUAAAGCAGGCAUUUUGCUUGAAUACAUUAGCAUGGAAUAAUAAAAUAGGACGGCAUGAUUCUAUUUUGUUGGUUUCUAGGAUCACUGUAAUGAUUAAUAGGGAUAGUUGGGGGCAUUAGUAUUCAAUUGUCAGAGGUGAAAUUCUUGGAUUUAUUGAAGACGAACUACUGCGAAAGCAUUCGCCAAGGAUGUUUUCAUUAAUCAGUGAACGAAAGUUAGGGGAUCGAAGACGAUCAGAUACCGUCGUAGUCUUAACCAUAAACUAUGCCGACUAGGGGUCGGACGGUGGUUUUUUUAUGCCCCGUUCGGCGCCUUACGGGAAACAAUCACUAGUG